AUUAAGCCAUGCAUGUCUAAGCACAUGCCUUAAAAUGGUAAAGCCGCGAAUGGCUCGGUAUAACAGCUACGGUUUAUUAGACUAUACCCGUUACUUGGAUAACUGUGGUAAUUCUAGAGCUAAUACAUGCAUCAAAGCUCCGACCUCACGGGACGAGCGCAUUUAUUAUUCCAAAACCAAUCGAACUUUGGUUCGUUGUUUGGUGACUCUAAAUAACUCAGUUGAUCGCAUAGUCUCGUACUGGCGAUGUAUCUUUCAAAUGUCUGCCUUAUCAACUUUCGAUGGUAGGUUAUAUGCCUACCAUGGUUAUAACGGGUAACGGAGAAUUAGGGUUCGACUCCGGAGAGGGAGCCUGAGAAAUGGCUACCACAUCCAAGGAAGGCAGCAGGCGCGCAAAUUACCCAAUCCCGGUACGGGGAGGUAGUGACGAAAAAUAACGAGAUAGUCCACUUUGUGGUCUGUCAUCGGAAUGGGUACAAUUUAAAUCCUUUAACGAGGAUCAAUUAGAGGGCAAGUCUGGUGCCAGCAGCCGCGGUAAUUCCAGCUCUAAUAGCGUAUAUUAAAGUUGUUGUGGUUAAAACGCCCAUAGUUGAUUGUUCGACUCUGGUACGCGGUAGCUCGUAAGGGCUUCACUGUUGUAUCGAGUCUGAUUUUGAGUUUUCUGUUGAUGCUCUUAAUCGGGUGUUGAUGGUGACUCGGACGUUUACUUUGAAAAAAUUAGAGUGCUUAAAGGAAGCUUUAUGCUUGAAUAUAGUGCAUGGGAUAAUGGAAUAGGACUUUGGUCAUAUUUUGUUGGUUUUGAGACUGAAAGUAAUGAUUAAGAGGAACAGACGGGGGCAUUCGUAUUGUUACGUUAGAGGUGAAAU
Molecule: ribosomal RNA, 866 nt
Filed under: Mermithidae sp. KW-2011-M1
Lineage: Eukaryota; Metazoa; Nematoda; Enoplea; Mermithida; Mermithidae
Description: bacterial SSU rRNA
Rfam family: Eukaryotic small subunit ribosomal RNA
Source: RNAcentral